GGAUACCAAGAGCAAACAGUAGAUCCGCUGCAGCCAAGUUCACCAGACACAAGUUCGUGGGCGUUCUAAUCUCUUUGUACCUGAGCACACAAACGGCCAUCCCAACAUUGACAAUGAUCGCUGCGAUGAACAACAAUCUACCCUCAUAGUUGCUCAACGAUUUCUUCCAUCUAUACUGUGAUAAACAAAGAAUACAAGAAAAAAGAAAAUAAAAAGAGAAAUAUAUUUGUCAUUAAUUAACAAUCUAUCAAGUUAAUCGACUAGAUUCAUUUCCGAAACUUAUCAAUAUGCAAGCUUGCAAGAAGAAGAUUCUCGAUAGAAGACAUUUUUAUCGGCCUUCGAGGUAUUUUUAAAAGUAAUUACUCUUAAAUCCAUGAGAUGAAAGCUCGACCUUCGAACUAAAUAUCUACAAUAGAGAAAAAAGAGACAUGAUGUCUACCGUCAUGGUCACGGUUUAUCUGAAGAAACCACGUCCUUCCAAUUUACUAUGCUUUCGUUCUGAGCUUAUUAAGUUAUUAUUAGAUACUAACACGCGACAAGAUCUAUGUAUGCUUGAUUUUAUUUUUCUUAGACUCUACGACAUAUUUUCUUGGUAUUCUAUUUACGAGUUUAUGUAUUGCAAACAUUUAUUUUAUCGGUAUAGUAUCUUAGUAAACAUAAUUUUCAUUUUCGCGUUAUAUAUAUCUUUUUUUAUUUUGAUUUAAGAUAACAAGAAAUUCGUUUUUCGAUAUAAAAGUCUAUCUUCUCCCUUUUUGAUCAAGAACAAAAAGCUUGGAAAAACAAGAAGAAAAUCGUUCGGUAAUAAAUCUGCAAAAGGGAUCUCGUAAAAGCUUUUUUUAAUAUCCGAAAGAAACGAUUUUCAACGGAAUCGAAGCUUCAUUUCUCUUCAACAAAUUGUCGUUUUCUUCUCGGUAUUAACUCUGUAUUUUACACACACCCACGUAAAUAUAUAUAGAUAUCUAUUCUUGUUUAUCUUACCGCAAACGACUAACUAGACAUUUAAACCAGUAAACGUUGCUUCGAAGAUUUAUCACUGUUAAGAAAUCCGCAUGCAUCGCUCAUCACCAAUUCUUGCUUUUCUUUGCCCACAUCAUCAAAUUUGAGAUUUUCGUCUAUCCUUUGCUCGAUCUUUGGUAAAUAUACCAAUUUUACGUUCUAUAUACAUCCAUAGAGAAAUAUUCUAAUUAAGUAAUUAAGUUUUAAACUUUUUUAAACUUUUUACAAACAAAAAAGAAAAAAAGAUACGGUCUCAGAUGAAAUAGUUGCGCAAAAGAUUUUCAUAUUGUUAAGCACAUAAUCUGCAUAUAAUUAAAGUAUGAACGAUAGAAAUGCGGUAAGAUAAUUGAUUCUAAAACUUUGAUAUCUCCGCUUUUAAUUAAUUUUAUAAGGAAGUCAUGUCCUUUGGUUGAAUUUCAAAAAAAAAAGAAUAUAUAUAUUUAUUUAUAAGGCUUUACACACACACACACACACACACACACACACACACACACACACAUAUAUGUACAUAAAUUGUGUUGCUAAGAAUUCAUUAUGAGGGUUGCAUUAUCAAAACGAAAUGAGGCAUCGAUGCAUUCGACAAGUACAUCCGAUUUGAAUAGUAAAUUUCCCGCGUUAUUUCAUUUAGAAUGGCGGGAAUCAAAGGCGCCAUCUUGCAAUUUACAAUAGCAAUGUUAGAAUGAAAAAAAUUGUUAUUUAUUUGUUAAAAUGAAUAGAAUAUGCAAUAUAUUUAAAUAUAUUAUCGGAUAACAAAAGACAAUUGUUUAUUAAAUACUGAUGAAAAUAUAAUUAUUCUAUCGAAUGAUAAUCAAAUGUCAAUUAAAUGAAAGAAGGAUAAGCUAUUAUACCUAAUACGAAUUGAUAAUUAUCAUCCUACGCCUAUGUUAUUUGCUCGUAUCAAUGUCGUGUGAUAAGUGAUUACGAUUUUCUAUAUCUCUGCAUAUAUGUUCUCACAUUAAGACUACAAAUAUAUACUUUACUUUACUAGCGUAAUAUAAAUCUUGUCAAAAUGUUUAAGCUUAGCGUCGUACAUGGUUAUGGUUGUUAAUUAAUUACACGCCAAAGUGAACUUUUGGGAAACGGGAAAGAUUAUUCUUUUAAAAAAAAAAAAGUAUUUUCUUUUCAUUAUCAUUUACCCCUUCGAAUUACUUCAUCCGUAAGUUUCUAUGAAGCAUGUAAUCAACGUACAUCGAUCAUGAGUCCUGUUUUAUCUUUUAACAUGAAUAUAUCGAAAAAGCAUCGACUUGUAUAAUUGAUAAAAGUGGAGGAGCAUUACGUGUGUAUGUGCAUUCGUUACAUUUAGAUUCUUCCUUUAUACAUUUAUACAGACACAUUAAAUAAUCAUUCACUUGGUAAA
Long non-coding RNA from Vespula vulgaris, 2353 nucleotides. RefSeq lists it as uncharacterized. The transcript is spliced from 2 exons. Lineage: Eukaryota; Metazoa; Arthropoda; Insecta; Hymenoptera; Vespidae. The record is from RefSeq and is a predicted model, not a curated record.